This 525-nucleotide ribosomal RNA is filed under the name uncultured Marivita sp. RNAcentral describes it as "partial 16S ribosomal RNA". It matches the Rfam family "Bacterial small subunit ribosomal RNA", at positions 312 to 851 of the family's 1533-position model. The record is from RNAcentral. Lineage: Bacteria; Pseudomonadati; Pseudomonadota; Alphaproteobacteria; Rhodobacterales; Roseobacteraceae.
AUCCUCUGGGGGCGAGGGGGGGGGGAAUUUUUUCCAAAAAACAGCAGUGGGGAAUCUUAGACAAUGGGCGCAAGCCUGAUCUAGCCAUGCCGUGUGAGUGAUGAAGGCCUUAGGGUAGUAAAGCUCUUUCGCCUGUGAAGAUAAUGACUGUACCAGGUAAAGAAACCCCGGCUAAUUCCGUGCCAGCAGCCGCGGUAAUACGGAGGGGGUAAGCGUUGUUGGGAAUUACUGGGCGUAAAGCGCGCGUAGGGGGACAUUUAAGUCAGAGGUGAAAUCCCAGGGCUCAACCCGGGAACUGCCUUUGAUACUGGGUGUCUUGAGUUCGAGAGAGGUGAGUGGAAUUCCGAGUGUAGAGGUGAAAUUCGUAGAUAUUGGGAGGAACACCAGUGGGGAAGGCGGCUCCCUGGCUCGAUACUGACGCUGAGGUGCGAAAGUGUGGGGAGCAAACAGGAUUAGAUACCCUGGUAGUCCACACCGUAAACGAUGAAUGCCAGUCGUCGGGUAGUAUACUAUUCGGUGACGCAG